RNAcentral lists this ribosomal RNA (691 nucleotides) under Pseudomonas aeruginosa. Its description in RNAcentral is "bacterial SSU rRNA". It matches the Rfam family "Bacterial small subunit ribosomal RNA", at positions 783 to 1475 of the family's 1533-position model. Lineage: Bacteria; Pseudomonadati; Pseudomonadota; Gammaproteobacteria; Pseudomonadales; Pseudomonadaceae. The record is from RNAcentral.
UACCCUGGUAGUCCACUCCGUAAUCGAUGUUGUAUACCCGUUGGGAUCCCUGAGAUAAUAGCGGCGCAGUUAACGGGAUUAGUGGUCAGCAGGGGGAGUACGACCGCAAGGUUAGAACUCAAAGGAAUUGCAGGGGGCCCGCACAAGCGGUGGAGCAUGUGGUUUAAUCAGAAGCAACGAGAAGAACCUUCCCCGGCCUUGACAUGGUGAGAACUUUCCAGAGAUGGAUUGGUGCCUUCGGGAACUCAGACACAGGUGCAGCAUGGCUGUCGUCAGCUGGCGUUCUUAGAUGUUGGGUUAAGUCCCGUAUCGAGAGCCACCCUUGUCCCUAGUGGCCAGCACGUAGGGGGGGCUCUCUCAGGAGACAACAUUCGACAAACCGGCGGAAGGUGGGGAUGAGGUCAAGUUAUCAUGGCCAGUGCGGCCAGGGAUCCUCACGUGCCACAAUGGUAGGUUCACAGGGUUGGCCAGCCGCGAGGUGGAGUUAAUCCCAUAAAACCGAUUGUAGUCCGGAUCGCAGUCUGCAAGAUCCCUGCGUGAAGUCGGAAUCGGAGUAAUGUAGAAUCAGAAUGUCACGGUGAAUAUGUUCCCGGGCAGGUACACUCCGCCCGUCACUCCAUGGGAGUGGGUUGGUCCAGAAGUACAUAGUCUAACCGCAAGGUGGACGGGAAAUAGUGGGACUCGUAACGUC